ACGAAGGGUGCAAGCGUUAAUCGGAAUUACUGGGCGUAAAGGGUGCGUAGGCGGUUCGUUAAGUCUGUCGUGAAAUCCCCGGGCUCAACCUGGGAAUGGCGAUGGAUACUGGCGAGCUAGAGUGUGUCAGAGGGGGAUGGAAUUCCGCGUGUAGCAGUGAAAUGCGUAGAUAUGCGGAGGAACACCGAUGGCGAAGGCAAUCCCCUGGGCCUGUACUGACGCUCAUGCACGAAAGCGUGGGGAGCAAACAGGA
Molecule: ribosomal RNA, 253 nt
Filed under: uncultured prokaryote
Description: partial 16S ribosomal RNA
Rfam family: Bacterial small subunit ribosomal RNA
Source: RNAcentral